Chlorocebus sabaeus (green monkey) is the source of this 1811-nucleotide non-coding RNA. The record is from RefSeq and is a predicted model, not a curated record. NCBI's taxonomy places the organism in Eukaryota, Metazoa, Chordata, Mammalia, Primates, Cercopithecidae.
GCUGUAGGUACUAUGGCUCCUGAAGCUGCUUUCCAUAUAGUAACUGGCGUCGUCGUCGUCUUCCAGCUCCUCCGAGUAAUCGGAGUCAUCGUCGUCUUCCUCCAUCUCAUCCUCCUCAUUGUCCUCAGACUCGUGGGUCUCCUCGGUGUGGCCGUCCUCUUCCUCCUCCUCGCUGUCGUGGUCAUUGUGCACCACCUUGCUGAUGGCCCUCAGGGCCACGAUGGUCCCGGCCAGGUAGCCGCCCCCGCCUCCUCGCUCCCCGUCCCUACCCGGCCGCCGCCCGGGGGCGCUGGUGCUGCCGGGGAGGGAUGGGAGAGUCGUGGGGGCGGGGAACCGGCGGCGGCGGCUUCCUCCGGCUACUGCUGCCCCUGCUGGGCGAGCUCAGCCGCGUCUUGGGGUCCAUCUCAGCCUGGCCUGCGGCCCAUCUGCCCCGGAGGCUACCGCGGUGCUGCGAGCGAAGACCCUCGAUGGGUCCAGACGUGGGCCGUGGCGGCGAUGGCAGGGCUCCGCAGCGGGAGCCGCGGGCUGCUUGGGCGGCCUGUCCACCUGCCUCUCCGAUUGGAGCCUAGGCAGGCGGGAGAAGAGCGGGGUCACGUGAGCUGCACCGCGGGAGAGCCUGGGACGCAGCGACGCUACGCGGCGGCGCUGCGGGGAGCGCGGGAGUGUGGAGUCCCGGGCGGGAGCCCGGAGCGCCCGCACUCCGCGCAGCGCGGCGCGGCUGGACUCCGGGCGCCGGUGGCGCGGCUGAGAGGGGCGUGCAGUUCGCGAAAUGCCCCUUGUCAAAGGCCUUCGGAGACCACAGCCUCCGUCUGGAGCCCAAAGCCGGCCAGACCUCCUCCCCGCAUCUCCCCUUCUGCGGCUGGGAGAGGAAGGCAGGGGAGCCCCCAGGUAUCAUUGCCCUCUCGCCCCAUCGGGAAACUGAUGCUGAAAGAGCCAGAGAGAGAAAGAAAAAAAAAGUCGCGGAGACGGGCCGCCCGAGCGACCGAAAGCACUGGGCAGCGCCAGCGACGGAGGGAAAUUAGUUGGGGGAGACAAGCACAAGCCCCCAGAAUUUAGGGAACUCCGAAGCUUGGAGCUGGAGUCCUGAAAUUGACUCCGAUGACAACCGCUGUGGGUCUGUGCCAGGAGCCACGCCCUGAGGGAAGGGCGUCCUAAGACCUGUUGCGUGGAAUCCCCACUAGGAAAGCCUCAGUAAACUCCAGAAUGCAACUACUGCACUUCCAAUCUCCCGCCACCUUCCCAAUGCCUUAGCUAGGACCUCGUUUGCCGUGGAAAAGAGGGAAUCUUGUCUAAAACCUACUUCACGGUGUUACAUGUUUGUAUUAUCGGGAAAUAACCUUAAUUUAUUGACCUGACAUGUCACUAGCUUUCAGCUUAGCCCAGGGGACGAAUCAUGAUGACAUUUCAGGCACCCUGAAACCUUAUCACAGGGACUCAACCCUGAGUGGUUGAGGUCAGCUCUUCAGACAAAGGUGAAUUCUCAAGGUUGCAUGUGAGCUCAAAGAGAGGCAAAGCAGAUAAGAUACUGGAGAGACAUUCUAUGUCAUAAACAGAUAGAGAUGGAAAAAUAGCCAAGUUAGAAAGAAGACGACUAAAGAGCAAGCGUGCACACGGGGGAGAAAACAGUCAAGGACAAAAUGAACUCAAAGCCCUUGGGAAGGCAGAGGAAAGGCCAGGGUGAAGAGAACAAUCUAUACAAGGGUUUCUUUAUGGUGGGUUUUGUUUUGUUUUGUCUUUUAUAAAAAACGACAGAACCACUUUUCUUUAAAUAAAAUCUAAUGAGAAACUUCAAUACAUAAAAUAAAACUAUU